RNAcentral lists this small RNA (107 nucleotides) under Kaistia hirudinis. Its description in RNAcentral is "Rhizobiales sRNA Atu_At1". It matches the Rfam family "Rhizobiales sRNA Atu_At1". Lineage: Bacteria; Pseudomonadati; Pseudomonadota; Alphaproteobacteria; Hyphomicrobiales; Kaistiaceae. The record is from Rfam by way of RNAcentral.
AUGCACCGCGCGUCAACCGGACGUGGCGGCAAGGGGAACGGGGCGAUUUUUCCGGUUUCUCGCCUCGGCCAACGAAACGGCAGCCGAGCCCCUGUCCCGCCCGCGGC